GACGAACGCUGGCGGCGUGCUUAACACAUGCAAGUCGAACGGAAAGGCCCUGCUUUUGUGGGGUGCUCGAGUGGCGAACGGGUGAGUAACACGUGAGUAACCUGCCCUUGACUUUGGGAUAACUUCAGGAAACUGGGGCUAAUACCGGAUAGGAGCUCCUGCUGCAUGGUGGGGGUUGGAAAGUUUCGGCGGUUGGGGAUGGACUCGCGGCUUAUCAGCUUGUUGGUGGGGUAGUGGCUUACCAAGGCUUUGACGGGUAGCCGGCCUGAGAGGGUGACCGGCCACAUUGGGACUGAGAUACGGCCCAGACUCCUACGGGAGGCAGCAGUGGGGAAUAUUGCACAAUGGGCGGAAGCCUGAUGCAGCAACGCCGCGUGCGGGAUGACGGCCUUCGGGUUGUAAACCGCUUUCGCCUGUGACGAAGCGUGAGUGACGGUAAUGGGUAAAGAAGCACCGGCUAACUACGUGCCAGCAGCCGCGGUGAUACGUAGGGUGCGAGCGUUGUCCGGAUUUAUUGGGCGUAAAGGGCUCGUAGGUGGUUGAUCGCGUCGGAAGUGUAAUCUUGGGGCUUAACCCUGAGCGUGCUUUCGAUACGGGUUGACUUGAGGAAGGUAGGGGAGAAUGGAAUUCCUGGUGGAGCGGUGGAAUGCGCAGAUAUCAGGAGGAACACCAGUGGCGAAGGCGGUUCUCUGGGCCUUUCCUGACGCUGAGGAGCGAAAGCGUGGGGAGCGAACAGGCUUAGAUACCCUGGUAGUCCACGCUGUAAACGGUGGGUACUAGGUGUGGGGUCCAUUCCACGGGUUCCGUGCCGUAGCUAACGCUUUAAGUACCCCGCCUGGGGAGUACGGCCGCAAGGCUAAAACUCAAAGGAAUUGACGGGGCCCCGCACAAGCGGCGGAGCAUGCGGAUUAAUUCGAUGCAACGCGUAGAACCUUACCCGGGUUUGACAUGGAUCGGGAGUGCUCAGAGAUGGGUGUGCCUCUUUUGGGGUCGGUUCACAGGUGGUGCAUGCCUGUCGUCAGCUCGUGUCGUGAGAUGUUGGGUUAAGUCCCGCAACGAGCGCAACCCUUGUUCACUGUUGCCAGCACGUUAUGGUGGGGACUCAGUGGAGACCGCCGGGGUCAACUCGGAGGAAGGUGGGGAUGACGUCAAGUCCUCAUGCCCCUUAUGUCCAGGGCUUCACGCAUGCUACAAUGGCUGGUACAGAGAGUGGCGAGCCUGUGAGGGUGAGCGAAUCUCGGAAAGCCGGUCUCAGUUCGGAUUGGGGUCUGCAACUCGACCUCAUGAAGUCGGAGUCGCUAGUAAUCGCAGAUCAGCAACGCUGCGGUGAAUACGUUCCCGGG
RNAcentral lists this ribosomal RNA (1343 nucleotides) under uncultured bacterium. Its description in RNAcentral is "16S ribosomal RNA". It matches the Rfam family "Bacterial small subunit ribosomal RNA", at positions 28 to 1378 of the family's 1533-position model. The record is from RNAcentral.